Long non-coding RNA from Neogale vison (American mink), 1053 nucleotides. RefSeq lists it as uncharacterized. The transcript is spliced from 3 exons. The record is from RefSeq and is a predicted model, not a curated record. Lineage: Eukaryota; Metazoa; Chordata; Mammalia; Carnivora; Mustelidae.
AAUGACUAAGCAUAAACAACCUCUCCAGGAGAAGGAACCAGUGUGUUUACACAAAAUGUUUGUCCUUUUCCUAAGGAAACUGGGAAGCAAGAUUUGGAAUUUACCAAGAAGGAAGAGGUGGUGGAGGAAGAGGAAAAAAAGAAGAGGAAGAAGAAAAAGAAGGAGAAAAGGAAGAAGAAAGGCCGACGUUUAUCGAUUGUUACUCCUUGCCACACUCUCUUCUUUACGCAACUCCUGCAACUAUUGGUGAGAGCUGUGAAAGAAAGACCCCAGAGAAGCAUUUAAAGUGACAUCACCAUGCCAAUCCCAACUCACUGGAACCAGGGGGAAACAACAGCUAGACCUGAUUAAAUGCAAUGAAGAUAAAUCCUGGUGACAACUCCUUUAGCUGUUUAGAGCUGGUGCUAAUUGUUCAUUGAGCUCCAAGGAAAGAGCAGGUAAAGCAAUGCCCAAAGUAUAGCCGAUAAAAUUUAUUUUAUAACCUCAUAUUCAUACCUGCCAGUAGGAAUCCUCCGGCUUUGCGGUUUAUCCAUCCACCCAUCCACCCCUCCUUCCAUUCAUUAUUCAUUCAUUCAACACAUAUUAUUGCUUGCUUUCGAGAUGCUCACCCGCUAGACACCAGUGAUGCAGCAGUAAGCCAAACAGAUGUGGCGUUGCUUUCCUAGGGUUUCCAGUCUGUUGGAAAGACAUAACUUACAUAUUUACAAGUAUGAUGAAUUUCAGGAACAAGACAAGAAGGAUACUCUGAAAGUUUGUCACAGGAGAACCUGAUGCCAUCAGAAGAAGCAGAAAGACUCCCUAAAAGAAAUGAUGGCUUACCUGAGACCCAGACAAUGAGAGACUGGGGAGGAAGCCCCUAGAGCUGAGGAGUAGCAGGUGCCAAGGCCCUGGGGUAGGCCGCAAGUGCUGGGUACAUGUGAGAAACUGAGACCUACCUAAUGGGCGGGGUGUAGAUGGGGAGUGGGAGUUGGGGCAUGGUGAGCCUUAUUAUGGCCCAAGCUGAGCCACGAACAACAAACUAGGAGGAAAAAAAAAAAAAGAAUGAUGUCAAUA